This 76-nucleotide transfer RNA is filed under the name Bacillus thuringiensis. RNAcentral describes it as "tRNA-Lys". It matches the Rfam family "tRNA". Rfam says of the family: Transfer RNA (tRNA) molecules are approximately 80 nucleotides in length. Their secondary structure includes four short double-helical elements and three loops (D, anti-codon, and T loops). Lineage: Bacteria; Bacillati; Bacillota; Bacilli; Caryophanales; Bacillaceae. The record is from RNAcentral.
UCGCUCGUAGCUCAGUUGGUAGAUCAAUCGACUUUUAAUCGAGAGGUCAUAGGUUCAAAUCCUAUCGGGCGAACCA